This 426-nucleotide ribosomal RNA is filed under the name uncultured Actinomycetes bacterium. RNAcentral describes it as "bacterial SSU rRNA". It matches the Rfam family "Bacterial small subunit ribosomal RNA", at positions 233 to 671 of the family's 1533-position model. The record is from RNAcentral. Lineage: Bacteria; Bacillati; Actinomycetota; Actinomycetes.
GCGGCCUAUCAGCUUGUUGGUAAGGUAAUGGCUCACCAAGGCGACGACGGGUAGCCGGCCUGAGAGGGCGACCGGCCACACUGGGACUGAGACACGGCCCAGACUCCUACGGGAGGCAGCAGUGGGGAAUAUUGGGCAAUGGAGGGAACUCUGACCCAGCGACGCCGCGUGCGGGAUGAAGGCCUUCGGGUUGUAAACCGCUUUCAGCAAGGAAGAAGCGAAAGUGACGGUACUUGCAGAAGAAGCACCGGCUAACUAUGUGCCAGCAGCCGCGGUAAUACAUAGGGUGCAAGCGUUGUCCGGAAUUAUUGGGCGUAAAGAGCUCGUAGGUGGUUCGUCACGUCGGAUGUGAAAAUCUGGGGCUUAACCCCAGACCUGCAUUCGAUACGGGCGAGCUAGAGUGUGGUAGGGGAGACUGGAAUUCCU